RNAcentral lists this ribosomal RNA (81 nucleotides) under Armigeres obturbans. Its description in RNAcentral is "partial 5.8S ribosomal RNA". The record is from RNAcentral. Lineage: Eukaryota; Metazoa; Arthropoda; Insecta; Diptera; Culicidae.
GAACUGCAGGACACAUGAACACCGACACGCUUGAACGCAUAUUGCACACCGUACUACAGUACGAUGUACACAUUUUUGAGU